RNAcentral lists this ribosomal RNA (509 nucleotides) under Lasiodiplodia theobromae. RNAcentral's name for it is "eukaryotic LSU rRNA". The stretch from base 139 to 292 matches the Rfam family "5.8S ribosomal RNA". The record is from RNAcentral. RNAcentral also lists the same sequence under 1 other name. Lineage: Eukaryota; Fungi; Ascomycota; Dothideomycetes; Botryosphaeriales; Botryosphaeriaceae.
UCGGAGCAUUCGAGCUUCGGCUCGACUCUCCCACCCUUUGUGAACGUACCUCUGUUGCUUUGGCGGCUCCGGCCGCCAAAGGACCUUCAAACUCCAGUCAGUAAACGCAGACGUCUGAUAAACAAGUUAAUAAACUAAAACUUUCAACAACGGAUCUCUUGGUUCUGGCAUCGAUGAAGAACGCAGCGAAAUGCGAUAAGUAAUGUGAAUUGCAGAAUUCAGUGAAUCAUCGAAUCUUUGAACGCACAUUGCGCCCCUUGGUAUUCCGGGGGGCAUGCCUGUUCGAGCGUCAUUACAACCCUCAAGCUCUGCUUGGAAUUGGGCACCGUCCUCACUGCGGACGCGCCUCAAAGACCUCGGCGGUGGCUGUUCAGCCCUCAAGCGUAGUAGAAUACACCUCGCUUUGGAGCGGUUGGCGUCGCCCGCCGGACGAACCUUCUGAACUUUUCUCAAGGUUGACCUCGGAUCAGGUAGGGAUACCCGCUGAACUUAAGCAUAUCAAAAGCCGG